RNAcentral lists this ribosomal RNA (253 nucleotides) under uncultured bacterium. Its description in RNAcentral is "partial 16S ribosomal RNA". It matches the Rfam family "Bacterial small subunit ribosomal RNA", at positions 524 to 776 of the family's 1533-position model. The record is from RNAcentral.
UACGUAGGUGGCAAGCGUUGUCCGGAUUUACUGGGUGUAAAGGGCGUGCAGCCGGGCUGACAAGUCAGACGUGAAAUCCCGCGGCUCAACCGCGGAACUGCAUUUGAAACUGUCAGUCUUGAGUACCGGAGAGGUCAUCGGAAUUCCUUGUGUAGCGGUGAAAUGCGUAGAUAUAAGGAAGAACACCAGUGGCGAAGGCGGAUGACUGGACGGCAACUGACGGUGAGGCGCGAAAGCGUGGGGAGCAAACAGG